This is a non-coding RNA of Polyplosphaeria fusca, 109 nucleotides long. The record is from the annotation of a GenBank genome assembly. NCBI's taxonomy places the organism in Eukaryota, Fungi, Ascomycota, Dothideomycetes, Pleosporales, Tetraplosphaeriaceae.
GACAAGAUGGCCGAGUGGUUAUGGCGUGUGACUCAAGCGAAAGCUUGCCUCAACAGAGGCUGUAUUCUCAUGGGCUUUGCCCGCGGGGGUUCGAAUCCCCCUCUUGUCA